AAAUAUUAAGAGAAAACACACACUCUCGAAUUUAGGUCUGCCGUUAAAUUUCUCUCUCAAUAAUUGCAUUUCUCUCUCGCGCACACUCCACCUCCCAAUUGUUCAAUUACGCUCCAGCUGCGCAAUGGUGGUGUCUAGGGCUAGUUUCUCAUGGUCGCGGCGGUGAAUUUGGCUCUCGUAGCAAACGAUUUGGGCAGGAGGCUCCGGCGCCGACUCCUGCAUCCUUUGCCAGAGUGGCGGCGCCGUCGUUCGCGGUCAGCUGCGUUCUCGCCGUGACGUCGCUGGUGUUCAGAUCUGCGCUCAGGAUCUGAAGUUUUUUACUGCGUACGUAUUAUUGAGUGGUGUUUAUAGAAAAAAGGAAAGCCACUCAUUUUGUUCAGUGUCUACUGCAGUCCAAAUGGUUUAGCCUAUUCGACUAUAUCUCAAUUGAUUUAUAUGAUGUUAGCACUAGGAAUGACUAUGGCGAAUCGUUGGUGUAUUAGUAUUUGGGAAUGUGUAAAAUAGCUCGCAACGUCUUGAUCCACCAGAAGAUCUUCUUGCAGAAUGUUGAUGAACCUUGAUGGGAAAGAGAAAUGUUAAAGAUGGAUUUCAUAAUUGGCCUUUGAAAGUAGCGAAUUCCAUUCCAUUUUCCAUAAACAUCAAAAGUCUCAUGUUUUUCAUGUUUUGAGGAUAAACCAACCUGACCCCUAUCUGUCGUAGAAGCUGUUCCUAGUGGUUUAAUUAGGGAAUUUUGUGAUUGUUUGUGGAGAUCGCAGUCUUGUUAUGCUCAUCCAGAGAUAAGCUUAAGAUCGUGG
Molecule: long non-coding RNA, 794 nt
Filed under: Salvia miltiorrhiza (redroot sage)
Lineage: Eukaryota; Viridiplantae; Streptophyta; Magnoliopsida; Lamiales; Lamiaceae
Description: long non-coding RNA (SMIL_LNC006839)
Source: RNAcentral